RNAcentral lists this long non-coding RNA (263 nucleotides) under Elaeis guineensis (African oil palm). Its description in RNAcentral is "long non-coding RNA (EGUI_LNC060519)". Lineage: Eukaryota; Viridiplantae; Streptophyta; Magnoliopsida; Arecales; Arecaceae. The record is from RNAcentral.
CUCUACUUCAUGUCCAUGCUCAGAUAUGAUAGAGAUCAGAUCUAAGAGAGAAAAAGAGGGAGAAAAAGAGAAGAAGAAGGAUUUUUCUUCUCUUCAUGGUAUUCUGAUUCAGAUCCCAUCGGAUCUGUGUGAAAUAGUUCGCGCAGCGAUCUCCUUCUUCAAGAUCUGGAAGAAGAGAUCUAGAUCCAAGAAUGAGGAUCGAGAUCUGCAAGCUGCUAGCAUAUCGGUGAUCUUGGUGCUCCGAUCAAGUAUCUCUGUAUGGA